GCGCACCAGUCGCGAAACCUCCGCAAUGCGGGCAACCGCGACGGGGGACCCCAGUGCCGUGGCAUCGCCACGGCUUUUCCGGAGUGUAAAAAGCUCCGGGAAUAAGGGCUGGGCAAGGCCGGUGGCAGCCGCCGCGGUAAUACCGGCGGCCCGAGUGGUGGCCGCUAUUAUUGGGCCUAAAGCGUCCGUAGCCGGGCCUGUAAGUCCCUGGCGAAAUCCCACGGCUCAACCGUGGGGCUUGCUGGGGAUACUGCAGGCCUUGGGACCGGGAGAGGCCGGGGGUACCCCUGGGGUAGGGGUGAAAUCCUAUAAUCCCAGGGGACCGCCAGUGGCGAAGGCGCCCGGCUGGAACGGGUCCGACGGUGAGGGACGAAGGCCAGGGGAGCGAACCGGAUUAGAUACCCCCGUAGU
Molecule: ribosomal RNA, 411 nt
Filed under: uncultured microorganism
Description: bacterial SSU rRNA
Rfam family: Archaeal small subunit ribosomal RNA
Source: RNAcentral